Molecule: ribosomal RNA, 253 nt
Filed under: uncultured bacterium
Lineage: Bacteria
Description: partial 16S ribosomal RNA
Rfam family: Bacterial small subunit ribosomal RNA
Source: RNAcentral
UACGUAGGGUGCAAGCAUUAAUCGGAUUUAUUGGGCGUAAAGGGCGCGUAGGCGGGCGUUUAAGUCAGAUGUGAAAUCCCGGAGCUCAACUCCGGAACAGCAUUUGAAACUGAACAUCUAGAGGGUAGGCGGAGAAAACGGAAUUCCACAAGUAGCGGUGAAAUGCGUAGAUAUGUGGAAGAACACCAGUGGCGAAGGCGGUUUUCUAGCUUACACCUGACGCUGAUGCGCGAAAGCAAGGGGAGCAAACAGG